AGGCCAGUAGCUCAAGUUGGCAGAGCAGCGGUCUCCAAAACCGCAGGUUGCGGGUUCAAGUCCUGCCUGGCCUG
Molecule: transfer RNA, 74 nt
Filed under: Chloroflexota bacterium
Lineage: Bacteria; Bacillati; Chloroflexota
Description: Chloroflexi bacterium (oil production facility metagenome) tRNA-Trp
Rfam family: tRNA
About the family: Transfer RNA (tRNA) molecules are approximately 80 nucleotides in length. Their secondary structure includes four short double-helical elements and three loops (D, anti-codon, and T loops).
Source: RNAcentral